GCCUCAGUUGCAACAGCUUUUGCAAGCAUUGUUUUACCAGUACCAGGGGGGCCAAAAAGCAGUAUUCCCUUGCAAGGCUUGGUCAGCUGUCCUUUACAAAACAAUUCAGGUCUUUGAAGUGGCAGCAUCACCAAUUCUUUCAAAGUAUCCUUGACAUUUUCCAGUGCUCCAAUGUCACAAAAAGUAACACCAAUAUCGCUAGGCGGAAUUACGUCCGCAAGUAGUCUCUUUUCAAAGUCAUUUUCAGUAACCACAUCCUUUAAAGAUUUUUUUAGACUCUUAGUUUCAUUGUGGAUCCCUUGGAAAAUAUUGACCCCAUAAGAAAUGCUUGCACUGGAGAUAACCAGCUUGACCUCUUCUACUGGCGAUUCAGUUUUGUGCAUAAAGUGAUGGCUCAAGGCCCAGCCUAUUAUCUUUUCCACACUCUCACUUGUUAACGCUUGAUCUUUUAUGCAUAAAGUUUCGAGGUCAGGGCAAUCAAUUCCUAUACGGUUCAAAACAUUGCGAAUGCUGACAAUGUUUGACUGAGAUUUCAAAGUUCCAAUAUCCCGUUCCAGCUGUUGUUUCCAGUCAGAUAAUAAUGCUUCAUCCUGAGGUAGUUGUAUGGUAACUUUGUUGGGGAAAAGACGGGUGAGCUGCUUCAUCGUUUUAGGAGUUUCUUUGCUUCUAUCAUGCAACCUACCAAAACUAUCUGGAAAAGCAAGGUCAAGCAAUGCUGUCUGGUUACUUCCAAACUUUGUAAACAGUAGUCCCCCGGGAUGUGAUUUCUCCUUUCGGCUGUCUGUUUGGGUAUGGGAAGCUAUGACAAUAACAUUCUCAGGUAAAUGUUCAAGCUUAAUCUUGAAAGCAGCAUAGGCCUCAGGAUUUCCCACCAUAGACUUCUCAAUGUCUUUGACAAAUAAAACUAAUGCACUAAUUUUACUUUCUUUUGAAGCAACCUCAAAAAGUUCAUCAAUGGCCAGUUUAUCAAUAUCAUCACUGUUUGAGCUAUCAAGGCGUAGAAAGUCGGCAGCACAAAAAAACCCAUGAUCUUCCUCGCAGCGACCACCAAGAUCAUUGCCCUCUGGAAUUGAUCUAUCAAACCUGAUCCCAAUCUUAGAGGACUCAUUAUCUUCAAAUGCAAGAACCACUUUGCCCCUGUAACCAUAUGUUGGACCCCUCAAAGGUGCUUGCAAGGGAGAAAAGCCUGACUGUAACGGACCAACAUACUUCACUCUGUCACCUUUCUUAAAAGUGUAGUUUUUGGAUGAUGCAGUAGAUGCCUCCUGCUUAGGCUGAGCAUGAGAACUUACUGUAGAACCACCAGUUAUAUCAGCCUCAACACUUGAAGCUGGCUUCUUAUUAAGGUGUAGUGCAGCCACCUGGGCAGCACGUUUAGCAAAGACACUUGCUCUCUCAGGCUUUGAACUUUCCUUCACAGAGUCAAUGUCUUUGGCAAUUGACCCACCAGGCAGUAAAAGAGAAUCAACUAUCAGUAGCCUGACACCAAAGUAUUUUGCAAGAGCCUUGGCCAAUGUCUCCUGAUAGAUUUCUGAACCUGCUGGACCUGAUAACAAAAUCCUAGGGCACAACGUGGGGAGAUCAGGUGCAUAUUUUAUGAAUUUGUGACACUUCAAAUGAACGUAAGUGGAAGAAAUCAGAACAUUCUUCGUGGUUUCACUCAAAUAGUACGGAAAAUUUUCAAACGAGACCUCAAUACUUUUUGAAUCAAGUAUUCCUUGUUGUAAUGCAUCUUUAAAAGCUUGGCGCCUGGUUGAUGUCAAAAUUGGCGGGUCAAGAUCUCUGAGUAAUUCCCGUAUUCCCCUCCGAUCUUCAAGAAUUUUGGAAAUGCUACCACUUAAAUCGAACUCAGAAGAUCCGGCAAGUACUCGCAGUAGAGGUCGCAAUUCCUGAGCUACCCCAGAGAUCUUCCCUAUCUCCGCAUCGACUGAAUCAAGUGCACCAUUAUCAAGAUUCAACUUCUCAUUUCCACUGUCAGGAGAUAUAACACCAGUCUUCUCACACAGUGAAACACCAGGCAAAUUGCUAAGGUUAGAAGCAUCCUUCAUUUCAGCAUCUAAAUCAUGUUUGUCUGACACUCCAUCUGCAGCUGGUAGUCUUGGCAAUUCCGAACUUUGUUGCAAAUCCUUACCAUUUUGAGAUGACGGCGAGAGAAGGGAAGACUCUUUCUGAAAAUUUGACAAAGAUGCGAGGGUUGAUGCCACCGCUACUGUGGAAGGGUCCCCUGACCUUGCCUCAAUGUGUAGUCCCUUGACUGAUCCACUAUGAGCCUCAAGUAUGCUGACUUGCCGUGGCAAACAAGAUUUGUUGUCGUUGGUGAUUUUUUCAAAUAUAUAAGCAUGAUCACCCGACGAGCCAAAAACCAUCUCAUCACCAUCAUUGAGAGGCACAGUAGAAUUUUUCGGGUAGACCUUGCCAUUGACUUGCACAUCACCUUUCUUGCCAGUAAUUUCAAGUAGAGUAAUGAAACCUCCUUUCUCUUGCUCAAUGUGCUUCAGAUUACAUAAAGAUUUGCUAACAGAAGGGUCUCCUAUCCACAAGUCACAUUGACGACCUUGACCAACAGAAUAUGUGGGAUGAUGCAUGACAACGUGAGGAUUUUGAGAGCACUGGGAAAUAAGCUUUCCCCAUGCAGCCCCAACAUUAGAUUUCAGCUGCCGCUUCUUUCCCCGGUUCAAUGCCGACCCGUUUGACUUGGAUUUAUCCACAUCAAUCGCAGAAUCACCUAAAGUCAUCGGUGAUACCAAAGGCUCGUUUGCCCCUUCAGUUUCCAUCGAUUUCUGUGGCGCAGCAGCAGCAGCCGGAGUAGCAGCAGCAUCAUCCGAUGAUUUCAAAACACUGGCUCCUACGAGAUCAGCUGAUCGAACCUCUUGCUCAGCAGAUUCCGGCCCUGAAUCAUUUACCCCACCCUUAGACCGCUUGCCAUUAUUCUGAAGAGAAGAUGAUGAUGGUGAAAGCGAACGCUUUGAUGAAGAAGAACUUCUUCUGGUCUCAACCAUGUUUGAUCUUCUUUACUUCUUCUUCUACAGAUCCAAAGAAUUAGAGAAGAAUGAAGCAAAAAAAAACGAUUUGGGUUUGUGUGUGAGAGAAAAA
RNAcentral lists this unclassified non-coding RNA (3093 nucleotides) under Hevea brasiliensis (rubber tree). The record is from RNAcentral. Lineage: Eukaryota; Viridiplantae; Streptophyta; Magnoliopsida; Malpighiales; Euphorbiaceae.